AUUGAACGCUGGCGGCAUGCUUUACACAUGCAAGUCGAACGGUAACAGGUCUUCGGAUGCUGACGAGUGGCGAACGGGUGAGUAAUACAUCGGAACGUGCCUGUAGUGGGGGAUAACUACUCGAAAGAGUAGCUAAUACCGCACGAGAUCUACGGAUGAAAGCAGGGGGCCUUCGGGCCUUGUGCUACUAGAGCGGCUGAUGGCAGAUUAGGUAGUUGGUGGGGUAAAGGCUUACCAAGCCUGCGAUCUGUAGCUGGUCUGAGAGGACGACCAGCCACACUGGGACUGAGACACGGCCCAGACUCCUACGGGAGGCAGCAGUGGGGAAUUUUGGACAAUGGGCGAAAGCCUGAUCCAGCAAUGCCGCGUGCAGGAUGAAGGCCCUCGGGUUGUAAACUGCUUUUGUACGGAACGAAAAGCCUGGGGCUAAUAUCCCCGGGUCAUGACGGUACCGUAAGAAUAAGCACCGGCUAACUACGUGCCAGCCGCCGCCGUAA
Molecule: ribosomal RNA, 497 nt
Filed under: uncultured bacterium
Lineage: Bacteria
Description: partial 16S ribosomal RNA
Rfam family: Bacterial small subunit ribosomal RNA
Source: RNAcentral